Molecule: ribosomal RNA, 406 nt
Filed under: uncultured bacterium
Lineage: Bacteria
Description: partial 16S ribosomal RNA
Rfam family: Bacterial small subunit ribosomal RNA
Source: RNAcentral
AUUGAACGCUGGCGGCAGGCCUAACACAUGCAAGUCGAGCGAGCGGCGGACGGGUGAGUAAUGUCUGGGAAACUGCCCGAUGGAGGGGGAUAACUACUGGAAACGGUAGCUAAUACCGCAUACCAUCGGAUGUGCCCAGAUGGGAUUAGCUAGUAGGUGGGGUAACGGCUCCCCUAGGUGACGAUCCCUAGCUGGUCGGAGAGGAUGACCAGCCACACUGGAAGUGAGACACGGUCCAGACUCCUACGGGAGGCAGAAGUGGGGAAUAUUGCACAAUGGGCGCAAGCCUGAUGCAGCCAUGCCGCGUGUAUGAAGAAGGCCUUCGGGUUGUAAAGUACUUUCAGCGAGGAGGCGUUGCUCGCAGAAGAAGCACCGGCUAACUCCGUGCAAGCAGCCGCGGUAAUAC